UACGUAGGCAGCAAGCGUUGUUCGGAGUUACUGGGCGUAAAGGGUGUGUAGGCGGUUAUUUAAGUUUGGUGUGAAAUCUCCCGGCUCAACCGGGAGGGUGCGCCGAAUACUGAAUGACUUGGAGUGCGGGAGAGGAAAGUGGAAUUUACGGUGUAGCGGUGAAAUGCGUAGAUAUCGUAAGGAAGACCAGUGGCGAAGGCGGGUCUCUGGACAGUUCCUGACGCUGAGGCACGAAGGUCAGGGGAGCAAACGGG
RNAcentral lists this ribosomal RNA (254 nucleotides) under uncultured bacterium. RNAcentral describes it as "partial 16S ribosomal RNA". It matches the Rfam family "Bacterial small subunit ribosomal RNA", at positions 524 to 776 of the family's 1533-position model. The record is from RNAcentral.